GCAUGGUCAUGGAUUUAUGGCAGGCCCUUCUCUGUGGGUCUCUCAUAGUGAACCAUGCCAGAGUAAACUGCAGCCCGAACCAUUGCCUAGCCUCCUUACCUGUGGGCUGUGAGCACUGAAGGGGGUUUCACAGCA
This is a small nucleolar RNA of Tupaia belangeri (northern tree shrew), 135 nucleotides long. NCBI's taxonomy places the organism in Eukaryota, Metazoa, Chordata, Mammalia, Scandentia, Tupaiidae. The record is from Ensembl.